RNAcentral lists this ribosomal RNA (513 nucleotides) under uncultured bacterium. RNAcentral's name for it is "partial 16S ribosomal RNA". It matches the Rfam family "Bacterial small subunit ribosomal RNA", at positions 28 to 523 of the family's 1533-position model. The record is from RNAcentral.
GACGAACGCUGGCGGCGUGCCUAAUACAUGCAAGUCGAGCGGAUCUUCAUUAGCUUGCUUUUGAAGAUCAGCGGCGGACGGGUGAGUAACACGUGGGCAACCUGCCUGUAAGACUGGGAUAACUUCGGGAAACCGGAGCUAAUACCGGAUAAUCCUUUUCCUCUCAUGAGGAAAAGUUGAAAGACGGUUUCGGCUGUCACUUACAGAUGGGCCCGCGGCGCAUUAGCUAGUUGGUGAGGUAACGGCUCACCAAGGCGACGAUGCGUAGCCGACCUGAGAGGGUGAUCGGCCACACUGGGACUGCGACACGGCCCAGACUCCUACGGGAGGCAGCAGUAGGGAAUCUUCCGCAAUGGACGAAAGUCUGACGGAGCAACGCCGCGUGAGCGAUGAAGGACUUCGGGUCGUAAAGCUCUGUUGUCAGGGAAGAACAAGUACCGGAGUAACUGCCGGUACCUUGACGGUACCUGACCAGAAAGCCACGGCUAACUACGUGCCAGCCGCCCGCAGUAA